CCCUUAGACACUCUAGGCGGCACGCGCGCUACAAUGGGUGGAAGAACGUGUUACUGCCUCCGAAAGGAGGGGUGAAUCACGAAUUCUUGCCCGUGAAUGGGAUAGUUUGUUGCAAUUUUCGGACUUGAACUAGGAAUCCCUUGUAAACAUGCUCAAGAAUAGCGUGUUGAAUACGCCCCUGCCGUUUGUACACACCGCCCGUCGUUUCUUCCGACUGAUACUCAUUGUGAGUUGCAAGGACCCUUUAUUGGGAAAUUGCUGCAAAUGCUUUGUAUUGGAGGAAGAAAAAGUCGUAACA
Molecule: ribosomal RNA, 298 nt
Filed under: uncultured eukaryote
Lineage: Eukaryota
Description: partial 18S ribosomal RNA
Rfam family: Eukaryotic small subunit ribosomal RNA
Source: RNAcentral